UGGCCCAUCUUAAUAUUUUGGAUUGGAGGCUCGGAUUCUUUCACAUAACGUCUGCGUUAAAAUUUAGGUGAGACCGCUUUUACAACGACUAAUCGCUUUCUCUCUUCAUGUUCUAUGUUUUGACGGAAACAACCUCUCUAUCCAUGCACUUCCAGAAUUCCACCGGGAUCUCGUCAGACCCGGUCGCUCGACCCCUACUCAUCCUACGCAACGCCCCUAAGACCUCCUCUACCCUAAAUAGUUAAUAUGUUUUCCUUGUAAGCUUAAAAAAGGCUGUUUAAUGCAUGAAAUAUUCAUAUUUAUUGUAGGGUCCGAGGAAACUGUAUCUUAUAUGUAAUAUAGGCCGUCUAUUUCUAACGCACGUGUUAAUGGCUCAACUAUAAUAUUAUAUUUGAAUUCUAAAUUUUAAAAGUAUAAUAAAUUGCGUACAGAAAACGUUAAAAAUUAAAUUCACUAAUUUAGAUCUUAAAUUUGUCUCUUCUCAUACAUGUAUAGUUGUGAACGUCUUGUGAAGUUUAUAGGCCAUGUCUUUUUCUCAGUUUCCUGCUCGCAUUUGAAUCUCAAUUAAUUCAGAUUCGUAAGACCCAUUACAUGGAAAAGCGCUCUCUAUAAUUAUGUUUUUUAUAUUCAGAAUUUGAACCCGAGACCUCUAAUAAACUAUAAAGGGUAAAGAAAUAAUAUUCAUCCCACCACAACCAUCACUGUCGCUAAACUUACCUACCACUAGUUCCUUAAGGGUUUUUUUCUUUUUCUUUUUUUUUUCUAUCCAUUUAGUAUUUGUUUUCCGUUUUGUUUACGUUUUAUGAUCUAGAGUUUUCUGCUUUUCCUCUCUUAUAGAGUAUUGUCAAUAAUUUUCUAAAUUAUUGGAACAUCAAUCAUACUAAAGCUACAAAUUUUAAUAUCUGGCCCACCUUGAUUCAAAUAAUUGAAGAUUUUAUAUUGAAAUUAGCCAAAGUGGACACACGAUUUUGCAAUCACAAAUAUAAAUUUAAAAAAAAAAACCUAACUUUCCCGUCCCACAUGAAACCAUUUUUGGCCUUAUUGAUGGACAAGUCAUGGACAAAUUAUAGGAGAUGACGUGCACAAUUUUUUAAUUUUAGUAACUCAUUUUGAAUAUAUUUACAUCUUAGAACCGAUAAUAUUUGCCAUGUUAGUAUUAAUUUUUUUAAAGGCAAAUGUUAGGUAACUAAUGGAUUAAAAACUUACCAUAGAGUUAUAGAUUAUGUAUUUUUGAUAACUGAACAUGAUGGAAAAAAUAAAUAAUAAAUCAGUAAAUAAGGAUGAUACCAUAUUUUCUACUGAUCAUUCUUUAUUUCACGUUAAUUUUUUUUUUUUAACAUGUUGCUUCAGAGCCCCUAUGUCCGUUUCUAUCGUAGACGGACUUAGAAUUUAAAAGUGGCGGGGGCAUCACUAACGAAUAAAAACUUAAGCAAAUGUUGGAGUGAGAAUCGACCCCAGACAGCGCACUACAAGUCAAGUUAUGCCCUCCACCUCCUCUAAAUCGAUUAAUGUAGCUGUCUAAGCUUUGAGUUUUAGAGGGCCAAUCAAGAUAUAUACUAUGUUAUCGAAGAUAUAUAUAUAUAUAUAUUCGAAAAUAUCAAAGACGGUGACCCCCUACCCUAAGUGUAAUCCGUCUCUGGUUUCUACUAUUUACAUAGUUUUCUUGAAUAGAAAACACAAACUGUGUCAUUCUUUCUUUUAUUGCAUACUAAUAAGAAAAUAGCGUCAUAACAAAAGAAAUACACAAGUGGUCAUUCAAAAAUAGUCACAGUUUCAAAAGUAAUCAAUAUUUAGCCACUUUUUAUAUAAAGAUAAAUCUGAACAAAAAUACUGUUCAAAAUCCGAAAAAUACUCCAGCAUAAUACAUUGGAGUUCCAGUAUAUUAUACUAGAGCCAGCAAAGUAUACCGGUCCAACAUAAUAUGCUGGAAGUUCAUACACCGGUGCACUAAAUUUCAGUAUAUUACGUUGGACUGGUCUAUGUUGCAGCAAAAUAGUGGUGAUUUUUCAUUAACUUAAUAAACGUUGGCUAUUUUUGAAUGACCAAUUCGCAAACUGGCUAAACUGUGCUAUUUUAAUGAUUUAAAUAGUCAUGGCCCAUCUUAAUAUUUUGGAUUGGAGGCUCGGAUUCUUUCACAUAACGUCUGCGUUAAAAUUUAGGUGAGACCGCUUUUACAACGACUAAUCGCUUUCUCUCUUCAUGUUCUAUGUUUUGACGGAAACAACCUCUCUGCCAUAUCGGGUUAGGGAUAAGGUCUGCAUACACAUUACCCUCCCCAGGCCUCCACUUUGUGAGAUUUUACUGGGUAGUUGUUCUAUAUUUUGACAUCCCAAUCCUCCUACUCUACAAGUGUAGGAAUCUACAAAUUUUCAUUCAGACACCUCAAUUUGAUCAAAAUAGUUACUUUAAACGUCUCUAACCGUCGACCAAGCUUACGCGGCAUUAAUUACUCAAUUGGACAAAAAGCAUGAUUUACAUGCACUUAAGGCGUAGGGGAUCGGUAUGUCAAAACGAUGUAGCUAUUAAGCUAUCCGAUCUUUCCUUUUUCUCUUCAUCAUUAAGCUUAGUCAUAAUUUUUUCCACAUUAAGACUGAUCUUUUAUGUUAUUGUUUUAUGCUUCUAAAAUAAAUUA
Molecule: long non-coding RNA, 2632 nt
Filed under: Nicotiana benthamiana
Lineage: Eukaryota; Viridiplantae; Streptophyta; Magnoliopsida; Solanales; Solanaceae
Description: long non-coding RNA (NBEN_LNC032237)
Source: RNAcentral